AGCUCACUCGCAAUACACUUUUUGUCUUCCCACCAACUGGAAUUGCGUUUCAAUGGCGAUAACGAGUGGCUUGGCAACCUCUUGUGCAGUUGCAGGCUUAAAAUCUAAGGCAAAAUCAGGUGUCAGUUUGCUUUUCAGUUCUUCAUCUUCUUCUCUGUCUAUCGCUUAUUUUGGUCAUCAAGUUAGGUUUUUCGGCAGUCGUCGAAGCAUUAAGCCGUUUGGUUUAUUGUACGAGAUCGCACUUGUUGAGCCCUAGAUGUGACGUUGGUUCGAACUCAGUGGUUAAAAAUGGUGUUAAGGAAUCCAAAGCGUCCAGUUUUUCAGCUUUGUGGCUUUGCAAGACAUCUGCUGCUACUGAUAAUGAAGAAACUUUUGGAACAGGUUGGAGUACACCAGCAGAGGAAGCAGAACCAGAGCUGGACAAGCAUAUAAUUCCACCCCUUCCGAUUAUGUAGAUGCAUGUCCAUAUCAUUGGUGAUAGUAAGCCUCCUUUCCUUUAUUAUAUGGAUAUUAUGAUUUUUGUUCCCCACAUUUUUAUAAAAUUGAUGAAACCAAGAUCAAUAAUCUCUAGUGAUCACCAGCCGCAUUAUCCAUUUUUGGUUAGCUUCUAUAUAGACCCCUUCUCCUCAAUGGCAAAGCCAGGAAAUUCAAUAAAUGUGUGGUCUAUACAAGGGUAUUCAAACUCUAUUUUUUGUCAAUAACAAAUAUUUUAUCAACAGUAUAAUAUUUUGGCGAAGGGUAUUCAAUUGACCACCCUUGACCACACAUAGCUCCGCCCCUGCUUCUCCUUGUUAUAUAGUUUUAUAUAAUGUCUAUGCCCCGCUAGAAAAUAUUGAAUAUUUCAAGAUAAAGUCCUUUGGCAAGGUCAGGAUCCAUGUAGCUAGUGAUCCCUCAGCCCUAUUUCAGUACUAUAAUAUUGCAGAUGAAAAAACCUUUGGAAUAGCUUGGAAGUCAUGGCCUAAGUUGGUUGGCCUGCCAACAAAAGAAGCAGAAAGGAAGAUAAAGGAGGAGAACCCAGAGCUGCACAUACAAAUAAUUCCACACGAUUCCAUUGUGAAUUUGGAUUUCUGUUCAAAUAGGGUCCAUAUCUUUGCCGAUAAAUAUGGAAAAGUUGACUCGGUCCCUACCGUUGGCUAAUCAUCUUUUCAAAAGAAUUUAUGAACACUGAGAAUCAAAAUGCUUCUUUUCGUUUUCUCUUUGAACUAAUGUUGAACUACUGUGUCUAUAUCUAUGUCUAUCCAAUAUGAAUUAAAGGUUGGGCAAAUAUACUAUCAUGUCCAUAGGUUCUUGUUUAUAAAGUAAAAGCUUUCUUUUUUAA
This is a long non-coding RNA of Nicotiana attenuata, 1318 nucleotides long. RefSeq lists it as uncharacterized. NCBI's taxonomy places the organism in Eukaryota, Viridiplantae, Streptophyta, Magnoliopsida, Solanales, Solanaceae. The record is from RefSeq and is a predicted model, not a curated record. The transcript has 2 exons.